CUAAGCCAUGCGAGUCAUUGUAGCAAUACAAGGCAGACGGCUCAGUAACGCGUAGUCAAUCUACCCUAUGGACGGGAAUAACCUCGGGAAACUGAGAAUAAUGCCCGAUAGAACAUUAUGCCUGGAAUGGUUUAUGUUUCAAAUGAUUUAUCGCCAUAGGAUGGGACUGCGGCCUAUCAGUUUGUUGGUGAGGUAAUGGCCCACCAAGACUAUUACAGGUACGGGCUCUGAGAGGAGUUGCCCGGAGAUGGGUACUGAGACACGGACCCAGGCCCUAUGGGGCGCAGCAGGCGAGAAAACUUUGCAAUGUGCGAAAGCACGACAAGGUUAAUCCGAGUGGUUUCUGCUAAAGAAACCUUUUGUCAGUCCUAGAAACACUAACGAAUAAGGGGUGGGCAAGUUCUGGUGUCAGCCGCCGCGGUAAAACCAGCACCUCAAGUGGUCAGGAUGAUUAUUGGGCCUAAAGCAUCCGUAGCUCGUUUUGUAAGUUUUCGGUUAAAUCCAUGCGCUUAACGUAUGGGCUGCCGGGAAUACUGCAUAACUAGGAAGUGGGAGAGGUAGACGGUACUCGGUAGGAAGGGGUAAAAUCCUUUGAUCUAUUGAUGACCACCUGUGGCGAAGGCGGUCUACCAGAACACGUUCGACGGUGAGGGAUGAAAGCUGGGGGAGCAAACCGGAUUAGAUACCCGGGUAGUCCCAGCUGUAAACUAUGCAAACUCAGUGAUGCAUUGGCUUGUGGCCAAUGCAGUGCUGCAGGGAAGCCGUUAAGUUUGCCGCCUGGGAAGUACGUACGCAAGUAUGAAACUUAAAGGAAUUGGCGGGGGAGCACCACAAGGGGUGAAGCCUGCGGUUCAAUUGGAGUCAACGCCAGAAAUCUUACCCGGAGAGACAGCAGAAUGAAGGUCAAGCUGAAGACUUUACCAGACAAGCUGAGAGGUGGUGCAUGGCCAA
Molecule: ribosomal RNA, 951 nt
Filed under: uncultured archaeon
Lineage: Archaea
Description: bacterial SSU rRNA
Rfam family: Archaeal small subunit ribosomal RNA
Source: RNAcentral